This 467-nucleotide ribosomal RNA is filed under the name uncultured bacterium. RNAcentral describes it as "partial 16S ribosomal RNA". It matches the Rfam family "Bacterial small subunit ribosomal RNA", at positions 28 to 507 of the family's 1533-position model. The record is from RNAcentral.
GACGAACGCUGGCGGCGUGCUUAACACAAGCAAGUCGAACGGAAAGGCCCUGCUUUUGUGGGGUGCUCGAGUGGCGAACGGGUGAGUAACACGUGAGUAACCUGCCCUUGACUUUGGGAUAACUUCAGGAAACUGGGGCUAAUACCGGAUAGGAGCUCCUGCUGCAUGGUGGGGGUUGGAAAGUUUCGGCGGUUGGGGAUGGACUCGGGCUUAUCAGCUUGUUGGUGGGGUAGUGGCUUACCAAGGCUUUGACGGGUAGCCGGCCUGAGAGGGUGACCGGCCACAUUGGGACUGAGAUACGGCCCAGACUCCUACGGGAGGCAGCAGUGGGGAAUAUUGCACAAUGGGCGGAAGCCUGAUGCAGCAACGCCGCGUGCGGGAUGACGGCCUUCGGGUUGUAAACCGCUUUCGCCUGUGACGAAGCGUGAGUGACGGUAAUGGGUAAAGAAGCACCGGCUAACUACGUG